RNAcentral lists this ribosomal RNA (159 nucleotides) under Spinicallianassa spinicauda. Its description in RNAcentral is "partial 16S ribosomal RNA". Lineage: Eukaryota; Metazoa; Arthropoda; Malacostraca; Decapoda; Callianassidae. The record is from RNAcentral.
ACUUUAUAUAAUAAUUACUAUUUUUUAAUUAUAAGUUCAUUUAAAAUUUUAACCAAUUGUAUUACGUUGGGGCGACGAAAGCAUAUCUUAACCUGCUUAUAAAUUAACACAAUUAUUUUUGUAAUAAAUGACCCUUAAAUAAGAACAAAAGUAGAAGUU